UAGACAGUCUACAGCAGCUAUUUGAUUUUCUAAUCAGCAGACCUGGUUGUUUCAGUGCAAGAGGAGCUGUGGUCUGAGGUUGAGUGUGAAGUUUAUUUUCCAUUUGCUACUGAGAGAUGAGAUUUUUUUGCUUUAAAAAAAAAGAAGGCCACAGAGAACGGCAAAAGGUAUUAGGAAGCAUUGUAGACAGAAUCCAAAAGCCGCCUAAUAUUUGUAAAGAUUAUCCGUUUUAAAGAAGAAAUAUGCCACAUGAAGUCCAGGUAAGAAACUCUUGCUAUUUUGGGGACAUAUUAUUAUAUUAUUUUGGAAAACUCCAAAUAGUGUGACUAAAGAUUUCAAUUUUUAUUUAAAAAAUGGUAACUUUUUAAAAAAAGGUAUUUAUCUUGUAUUUAUUUAUUUAGUUAGUUGCUCCCUUAGCAUGCAGAAGUUCCCAGGGCAGGGAAUGAACCUGAGCCACAGCCAGUGACAAUGCCCAUUCUUAACCACUAGGCCACCAGGGAACUCCUCAAAAAUGACAUCUUUUAGUUAAAUCAAUUUUUCUAUAAAAAUUAAUGCUGUUUAUAAAGCAUUUUGAAAAUUAAAAAAAUGUGAGAUAGAAUCAUACUUGAGAGAGUUUGUUUCAUCCUGAAGUCUUGGGCUUCAUUCAUGUGCAUGUAAAGUUCUCUGAUUUUAAUUUUUCUCCACUAUUUCUGCUAUUUCUGGGAACUUUAUGGAAGC
RNAcentral lists this long non-coding RNA (717 nucleotides) under Sus scrofa (pig). RNAcentral describes it as "lncRNA (ENSSSCG00025040432.1, ENSSSCG00070005060.1)". The record is from RNAcentral. Lineage: Eukaryota; Metazoa; Chordata; Mammalia; Artiodactyla; Suidae.